RNAcentral lists this ribosomal RNA (460 nucleotides) under uncultured bacterium. Its description in RNAcentral is "partial 16S ribosomal RNA". It matches the Rfam family "Bacterial small subunit ribosomal RNA", at positions 338 to 795 of the family's 1533-position model. The record is from RNAcentral.
CCUACGGGAGGCAGCAGUGAGGAAUAUUGGUCAAUGGACGCGAGCCUGAACCAGCCAAGUCGCGUGAAGGAGGACUGCCCUAUGGGUUGUAAACUUCUUUUGUACGGGGGUAAACGCAGAAACGCGUGUCUUUUUGUAAGUACCGUACGAAUAAGGAUCGGCUAACUCCGUGCCAGCAGCCGCGGUAAUACGGAGGAUCCAAGCGUUAUCCGGAUUUAUUGGGUUUAAAGGGAGCGUAGGCGGGAGGUUAAGUUAGGGGUGAAAUGUUGAGGCUCAACCUCGAAAUUGCCGUUGAUACUGGUAGUCUAGAGUGUAGUUGAGGUAGGCGGAAUGCGUGGUGUAGCGGUGAAAUGCUUAGAUAUCACGCAGAACCCCGAUUGCGAAGGCAGCUUACCAAGCUACAACUGACGUUGAGGCACGAAAGCGUGGGUAUCAAACAGGAUUAGAUACCCCUGUAGUC